Molecule: ribosomal RNA, 585 nt
Filed under: uncultured bacterium
Lineage: Bacteria
Description: partial 16S ribosomal RNA
Rfam family: Bacterial small subunit ribosomal RNA
Source: RNAcentral
UGGGGAAUUUUGGACAAUGGGCGAAAGCCUGAUCCAGCAAUGCCGCGUGUGUGAAGAAGGCCUUCGGGUUGUAAAGCACUUUUGUCCGGAAAGAAAUCCUUGGCUCUAAUACAGUCGGGGGAUGACGGUACCGGAAGAAUAAGCACCGGCUAACUACGUGCCAGCAGCCGCGGUAAUACGUAGGGUGCAAGCGUUAAUCGGAAUUACUGGGCGUAAAGCGUGCGCAGGCGGUUUGCUAAGACCGAUGUGAAAUCCCCGGGCUCAACCUGGGAACUGCAUUGGUGACUGGCAGGCUAGAGUAUGGCAGAGGGGGGUAGAAUUCCACGUGUAGCAGUGAAAUGCGUAGAGAUGUGGAGGAAUACCGAUGGCGAAGGCAGCCCCCUGGGCCAAUACUGACGCUCAUGCACGAAAGCGUGGGGAGCAAACAGGAUUAGAUACCCUGGUAGUCCACGCCCUAAACGAUGUCAACUAGUUGUUGGGGAUUCAUUUCCUUAGUAACGUAGCUAACGCGUGAAGUUGACCGCUUGGGGAGUACGGUCGCAAGAUUAAAACUCAAAGGAAUUGACGGGGUCAUAGCUGUUUCCU